Long non-coding RNA from Belonocnema kinseyi, 446 nucleotides. RefSeq lists it as uncharacterized. The record is from RefSeq and is a predicted model, not a curated record. NCBI's taxonomy places the organism in Eukaryota, Metazoa, Arthropoda, Insecta, Hymenoptera, Cynipidae. The transcript has 3 exons.
AUUUAAAGGAAGUACCUGGACCUUUGAAUGUAUCUACCUGAGUGCUUGCGGAGAAUUUCUCUGAGCUUCUCUGACCCUAGAGAAUCUUUAGAAUAUACUAUGAGAUUUCUUUCGGUAUCUUCUAGUCUCCAAAUUCGGAAGGAAAUCGGGCCCUUCUCUCAAAUAGCACUUCGUCAGGAGUCAUACCAGUGGACUCGUGAACGGAAGUAUUAAAGGAAAAAACUGGCAAACGGAAGUCACUGGUCCCAGUUACUUCGCUCACUAUAAUUGCAUCAAUGACAGAGUCGGACAGGAAAGGCAUUCCUAACAUUCCGUUGCAACUUGCGGGAAAAUUAUUCGGUAUUAUUUGAAAAGGACAAUCAACCCCAUUAAUAUUUAUGUACACUUCUCCAGAGGUCUUUACCCCUUGACUGGUAAUUCCAAAUAAAUGAUAUCUGACAUCAAAA